AUUGAACGCUGGCGGCGUGCCUAACACAUGCAAGUCGAGCGGUAACAGGUGUAGCAAUACAUGCUGACGAGCGGCGGACGGGUGAGUAACGCUUGGGAAUCUGCCUAUUAGUGGGGGACAACCCGGGGAAACUCGGGCUAAUACCGCAUACGCUCUACGGAGGAAAGCCGGGGACCGCAAGGCCUGGCGCUAAUAGAUGAGCCCAAGUCGGAUUAGCUAGUUGGUAGGGUAAUGGCCUACCAAGGCGACGAUCCGUAACUGGUCUGAGAGGACGACCAGUCACGCCGGAACUGAGACACGGUCCGGACUCCUACGGGAGGCAGCAGUGGGGAAUCUUGCGCAAUGGGCGAAAGCCUGACGCAGCGACGCCGCGUGA
RNAcentral lists this ribosomal RNA (376 nucleotides) under uncultured bacterium. RNAcentral's name for it is "bacterial SSU rRNA". It matches the Rfam family "Bacterial small subunit ribosomal RNA", at positions 29 to 404 of the family's 1533-position model. The record is from RNAcentral.